AUAAAGUAUGGAGAAUAUGGUGCAUCCGGGAGGAUUCGAACCUCCGACCGCUCGGUUCGUAGCCGAGUACUCUAUCCAG
RNAcentral lists this transfer RNA (79 nucleotides) under Salmonella enterica subsp. enterica serovar Weltevreden str. HI_N05-537. Its description in RNAcentral is "tRNA-Arg". The record is from RNAcentral. Lineage: Bacteria; Pseudomonadati; Pseudomonadota; Gammaproteobacteria; Enterobacterales; Enterobacteriaceae.